RNAcentral lists this ribosomal RNA (407 nucleotides) under uncultured bacterium. RNAcentral describes it as "partial 16S ribosomal RNA". It matches the Rfam family "Bacterial small subunit ribosomal RNA", at positions 28 to 526 of the family's 1533-position model. The record is from RNAcentral.
GACGAACGCUGGCGGCGUGCCUAAUACAUGCAAGUCGACCUUAGUGGCGGACGGGUGAGUAAUAUAUCGGAACGUGCCCAGUAGCGGGGGAUAACUACUCGAAAGAGUGGCUAAUACCGCAUACUAUUGGAGCGGCCGAUAUCGGAUUAGCUAGUUGGUGGGGUAAAGGCUCACCAAGGCCACGAUGCAUAGCCGACCUGAGGGGGUGAUCGGCCACACUGGGACUGAGACACGGCCCAGACUCCUACGGGAGGCAGCAGUGGGGAAUUUUGGACAAUGGGGGAAACCCUGAUCCAGCCAUGCCGCGUGUGUGAAGAAGGUCUUCGGAUUGUAAAGCACUUUAAGUUGGGAGGCGUUACCAACAGAAUAAGCACCGGCUAACUUCGUGCCAGCAGCCGCGGUAAUUC